GCUAGGAGUGUAAAAGUGGGUGUACUAUCCAAAGCCAUAUAUUUGGAAGCAUUGAGGGACCAAAUGUCACACUUAACACGACAUAGGCAAUGAGGUCAUAUAUCUCCAAAUAAUCAAUCUCCAUGGCGGUUUGAAUAAAAAAACAUAUCACAUUUUAUUAAAAAAAUUAAAAAAAAUGGUAAAUAACAUAAAACGUUCAUAUAUUUCAAUGUUAUUGUGCAAAAUGUCCAUACCUUUCUUUUUUGGCAUUUUUAUCCCUAUUCCCACUUUUCAUUGUCCAAAAUGUCAUUUUCAUCUAUUUUUUCAAUAAAAUGAUGAUUUUACCCUUAUAUUCAAAUAAAACAAAAAGAAAUGAAAUGAAAUGAUAAAGAACUAAUUACAAUAAUAAUUCCAAAUUUUCAAAAAAUUACAAAUUAAUCACAAAUAUAUAAUUCAAAUUCAAAACUAAAAAGGCCAAAAAAAAACCAUUCAAUGAUUAUUGGAACUCAAUCAGCCUGCUCACAUUCAUCAAAUUGUUUUGGAAGAUAAAUUGUCCUUUUUUAUGCACGUUACUUUUUUUCUUUUUCUUUUUUUUUCCUCAUCUCCAUCUCUCUCCCCCAGUCACAGAGAGGAAAAAGGGAGAACAAAAAGAUUAAAUCAUAAAAAACCUGGAUUCAGAUUCUUCAUAACUGCACACAUUUGAAUUCCACUUGAAUUUUUCAUGUUUUCGCAUGAAAAUAACCAGAUCCAAGAAUCUUGACUAAACGGGUGUUCUGGGUGUUAGCAAAUCUAUCAUGACUUCAGAUUCAAUAUCUAAUUCAAAGCCUGCACCAAUUCCAUCCAAAUAGGAAGACGAGUUACCAAAUUCAACCGCUGCUCUUUUUCCCUGAGAGGCUGAGACACGGAAUCUUCCUCCUUAAUCUCCCUGUCAUUGAAAGAAUCGACCAACAGGAUUCUAUUCAUUUGUCUAAUUCUUUCCACAGGCAUUGCUCUCUCUGCUUCUUUUGCCUUUGUCUUUUCUAUUCUUCUCCUCUUUUGCUUCAUCAUCGCCAUCAGCAACUUCUCAAUCCCUUGAUCAAGUCUCGAGGCCACUCACAAAGCUCAAGCACCCAGUUGUUUUGUUAAUAUUCUCAGAUGGUUUUCGAUUCGGGUACCAAUUCAAGACCUACACUUCAAAUAUCAAAAAGAUUGAUUGUUGGGGAUCCUAGGAGUUCAAUCAACCAAAACAUCAACCCAUAGACAAGAUUCAAGGCAAAACAAUGAAAAAAGGGGAUGGAAAAAUACAACCUGUGUUCGGCCGAAAUCUGUCCAGCUUUCCUUCCUCGUUUCAGCAGCUUCUUCUUCGAUUUAUGGGUGUUUUUCAGGCUCAGGAACAGCCUUCCAUGACUUGCUAAUUACCUUCCAAGAGAGAGGGGAAAACCAAUGAAGAACCACAACCCUUUGCCAAAGAGAACCGAGAGCUCCUCUCUGCUGGGAGAAAAGAAACCGAGAGCUCUUCUUCUUAAAAUGGUAGAGGGUAAGUCUACAUAAGAAGGAAAGACCAUGCCUCUGCCAAAAAACGUGGGAAGACCUUAUUGUGUCAACAUCAAUACCAUCAAGUCACUAGUUGAUAGUGUUAGGUGAACCAUAUCCUCACAUUCUUCACCUUGGUUCUCCUAACACUCUCUCUUGAUUGCGAAUUUGCACAUGGAAGAACUGUUCAUCAUCAUCGCUCACCACCUGCAAGAAAAUUAACCAGUGUCAAUGUGUAAUAAAGAUAAGCACAAUCUAAAUUUACUUGCAGGUAGAAUUUUUGUUCCCAUAUCAGAGGGAUUCCUAUCAGUGUGAAUUUUAACAAGAUUAACUUCACCUUGAGACAGUUUCUCACGUAUAAAAUGAUACUUUACCUCAAUAUGUUUAGUUCUUUCAUGGUAAACAGGAUUUUUACAAAGCAAUAAAGCACUUUGACUAUCAGUAAACAUAACAGGUGUAUCAUGCAUGAAGUUCAAUUCUUUUAAAAUUCCUUUUAACCAAGUACAUUCUUUAGCCGCCUCAGUUAUGGCAACAUAUUCUGCCUCAGUACUUGACAAAGUAACUAAAGGCUGCAGCUGUGACUUCCAUGUUAUACAAUUGUCACCUAGUGUAAAAAAGUACGCUGUGGUAGACUUUCU
This 2129-nucleotide long non-coding RNA is filed under the name Olea europaea subsp. europaea. The record is from RNAcentral. Lineage: Eukaryota; Viridiplantae; Streptophyta; Magnoliopsida; Lamiales; Oleaceae.